This 745-nucleotide long non-coding RNA is filed under the name Setaria italica (foxtail millet). Its description in RNAcentral is "long non-coding RNA (SITA_LNC006131)". The record is from RNAcentral. Lineage: Eukaryota; Viridiplantae; Streptophyta; Magnoliopsida; Poales; Poaceae.
GCACGUCUGCACCGCGUGCCGGGCCUUGAACGAGGACAUGAUGACGUGUAUGAGGCAGUCCGGUAGGGUGCUCAGGCGGUCCUGGUCGCCGCCGCCGCCGCCGUCCCCGCCGGGUCCGGCCCUCUUCCUUGUGGCCUCCGCUCCUCCAUGGAUUGCCCUGCUCGAGGCAAUUCGCCUAUAUGUCAGACCACACGACCAAAAAAAGAAGGGGGAAAAAAAAUCCCCAAUUCCAUCUAUACACAAAGAACACCAGAGAAUCCGGCUCGAUUACAAGACGAGACGUGGUGCUAGUUUGGGAGACGGCGCGGGAUCUCAAGAGGCAUGGAGGAAUUGCUGAAUUAAAUCCAUGACCCCAGGAAUGAUUGGGAGGGCCAGAAGCGGAACAGUCACAGGUACGGGAGGCGGCGGAGCGAGCGAGGGGAAGGGUGGUCGGGGGAACCGGGGAUUGGGGCCGUGCUUACCGAGCGCCGCGGGUUCAGCCUGCUGCGGGGGGAGGAGAGGCUCCAUUCGGAGGCGAGCGGAGAAGGAGUGGCCUAAACCCUCGACGGCGGCGACGGCGAGACGGGAUGGGAGAAGAGGGCGGAGCACACGGCGCCGCCGAGCGGAGCAGGAGAGCUGCUCGGGGUUGGGCCGGCCCAUUAGAGGCCCAGUUUCCGGGUUAAAAUCUAAUUAUAAUAAUUUUCGCUAGAGAGGGAGGAUCCAUCUGUUUUUUGUAUUAAGUGCGGAAUUUCUAAGUGCUGGCCGG